Molecule: ribosomal RNA, 429 nt
Filed under: Acidobacteriota bacterium
Lineage: Bacteria; Pseudomonadati; Acidobacteriota
Description: Acidobacteria bacterium partial 16S ribosomal RNA
Rfam family: Bacterial small subunit ribosomal RNA
Source: RNAcentral
UGGGGAAUUUUGGACAAUGGGGGAAACCCUGAUCCAGCCAUCCCGCGUGUGCGAUGAAGGCCUUCGGGUUGUAAAGCACUUUUGGCAGGAAAGAAACGUCAUGGGUUAAUACCCCGUGAAACUGCCGGUCCCUGCAGAAUAAGCACCGGCUAACUACGUGCCAGCAGCCGCGGUAAUACGUAGGGUGCAAGCGUUAAUCGGAAUUACUGGGCGUAAAGCGUGCGCAGGCGGUUCGGAAAGAAAGAUGUGAAAUCCCAGAGCUCAACUUUGGAACUGCAUUUUUAACUACCGGGCUAGAGUGUGUCAGAGGGAGGUGGAAUUCCGCGUGUAGCAGUGAAAUGCGUAGAUAUGCGGAGGAACACCGAUGGCGAAGGCAGCCUCCUGGGAUAACACUGACGCUCAUGCACGAAAGCGUGGGGAGCAAACAGG